AACGAACGCUGGCGGCAUGCCUAACACAUGCAAGUCGAACGAGACCUUCGGGUCUAGUGGCGCACGGGUGCGUAACGCGUGGGAACCUGCCCUUAGGUUCGGAAUAACUCCCCGAAAGGGGUGCUAAUACCGGAUAAUGUCUUCGAACCAAAGAUUUAUCGCCUUUGGAUGGGCCCGCGUUGGAUUAGCUAGUUGGUAGGGUAAAAGACUACCAAGGCGACGAUCCAUAGCUGGUCUGAGAGGAUGAUCAGCCACACUGGGACUGAGACACGGCCCAGACUCCUACGGGAGGCAGCAGUUGGGAAUAUUGGACAAUGGGCGAAAGCCUGAUCCAGCAAUGCCGCGUGAGUGAUGAAGGCCUGAGGGUUGUAAAGCUCUUUUACCCGGGAUGAUAAUGACAGUACCGGGAGAAUAAGCUCCGGCUAACUCCGUG
RNAcentral lists this ribosomal RNA (433 nucleotides) under uncultured bacterium. RNAcentral describes it as "partial 16S ribosomal RNA". It matches the Rfam family "Bacterial small subunit ribosomal RNA", at positions 29 to 507 of the family's 1533-position model. The record is from RNAcentral.